Molecule: RNase P RNA, 346 nt
Filed under: human gut metagenome
Description: Bacterial RNase P class A
Rfam family: Bacterial RNase P class A
About the family: Ribonuclease P (RNase P) is a ubiquitous endoribonuclease, found in archaea, bacteria and eukarya as well as chloroplasts and mitochondria. Its best characterised activity is the generation of mature 5'-ends of tRNAs by cleaving the 5'-leader elements of precursor-tRNAs.
Source: RNAcentral
AGUCGGUUAUACGGUCGCGGGGACGGAGAGAAACCGUCAAUGAGGAAAGUCCGAACUUUUUAGAAACAGGGUGCCGGAGAAAUCCCGGUGAAGGCGACUUUAAGGAAAGUGCAACAGAAAACAACCGCCGUUUAUAACGGUAAGGGUGAAAAGGCGCGGUAAGAGCGCACCGCUCUUUCGGUAACGAGAGAGGCUGUGUAAACCCCACCUAAAGCAAGAUUGACAAGUUUUUCACUAUAGGGAGUUUCACCUGAAAAACUUAUUAAAAUAUCGCUUGACGAUAUCGGAGACGAUAUUGCUAGAUAAAUGACCGUACACGACAGAAUUCGGCUUACAGACCGUCUUA